GGGCGAUUAACUCAGCGGGAGAGUGCUACCUUCACACGGUAGAAGUCACUGGUUCGAUCCCAGUAUCGCCCACCA
This 75-nucleotide transfer RNA is filed under the name Desulfomicrobium escambiense. Its description in RNAcentral is "tRNA-Val". It matches the Rfam family "tRNA". Rfam says of the family: Transfer RNA (tRNA) molecules are approximately 80 nucleotides in length. Their secondary structure includes four short double-helical elements and three loops (D, anti-codon, and T loops). RNAcentral also lists the same sequence under 12 other names. Lineage: Bacteria; Pseudomonadati; Thermodesulfobacteriota; Desulfovibrionia; Desulfovibrionales; Desulfomicrobiaceae. The record is from RNAcentral.